CCGCCGGCGGGACGCGGUGAGGUCGCGGCCCGGGCUGGGCCGUCGGGUACGGCGGUCGCCCGGGCCGCGAAGGAUCAGCGCCCGCGCCGGCGGG
RNAcentral lists this transfer RNA (94 nucleotides) under Kitasatospora herbaricolor. RNAcentral's name for it is "tRNA-Ala". The record is from RNAcentral. Lineage: Bacteria; Bacillati; Actinomycetota; Actinomycetes; Kitasatosporales; Streptomycetaceae.